UGGGGAAUAUUGCACAAUGGGGGAAACCCUGAUGCAGCGACGCCGCGUGAGCGAAGAAGGUUUUCGAAUCGUAAAGCUCUGUCCUAUGAGAAGAUAAUGACGGUAUCAUAGGAGGAAGCCCCGGCUAAAUACGUGCCAGCAGCCGCGGUAAUACGUAUGGGGCGAGCGUUGUCCGGAAUUAUUGGGCGUAAAGGGCAUCUAGGCGGUAAGACAAGUUGAAGGUGAAAACCUGUGGCUCAACCAUAGGCUUGCCUACAAAACUGUUGAACUAGAGUACUGGAAAGGUGGGUGGAACUACACGAGUAGAGGUGAAAUUCGUAGAUAUGUGUAGGAAUGCCGAUGAUGAAGAUAACUCACUGGACAGAAACUGACGCUGAAGUGCGAAAGCUAGGGGAGCAAACAGG
This 404-nucleotide ribosomal RNA is filed under the name Verrucomicrobiota bacterium. RNAcentral's name for it is "Verrucomicrobia bacterium partial 16S ribosomal RNA". It matches the Rfam family "Bacterial small subunit ribosomal RNA", at positions 355 to 776 of the family's 1533-position model. Lineage: Bacteria; Pseudomonadati; Verrucomicrobiota. The record is from RNAcentral.